UACGUAGGGUGCAAGCGUUGUCCGGAAUUAUUGGGCGUAAAGAGCUCGUAGGCGGUCUGUCGCGUCUGCUGUGAAAACUCAGGGCUUAACCCUGAGCUUGCAGUGGGUACGGGCAGACUAGAGUGCGGUAGGGGAGACUGGAAUUCCUGGUGUAGCGGUGAAAUGCGCAGAUAUCAGGAGGAACACCGGUGGCGAAGGCAGCACUCUGGGACGGUACUGACGCUGAGACGCGAAAGCGUGGGGAGCAAACAGG
RNAcentral lists this ribosomal RNA (253 nucleotides) under uncultured bacterium. RNAcentral's name for it is "partial 16S ribosomal RNA". It matches the Rfam family "Bacterial small subunit ribosomal RNA", at positions 524 to 776 of the family's 1533-position model. The record is from RNAcentral.